This 251-nucleotide non-coding RNA is filed under the name Streptomyces afghaniensis 772. Its description in RNAcentral is "Bacterial large subunit ribosomal RNA". It matches the Rfam family "Bacterial large subunit ribosomal RNA", at positions 2122 to 2370 of the family's 2925-position model. The record is from Rfam by way of RNAcentral. Lineage: Bacteria; Bacillati; Actinomycetota; Actinomycetes; Kitasatosporales; Streptomycetaceae.
GUUCGGUUCGGCUUGUGUAGGAUAGCUGGGAGACUGUGAAGCGCUAACGCCGAGUUAGUGUGGAGUCGUCGUUGAAAUACCAGUCUGGUCGUGCUGGAUGUCUAACCUGGGUCCGUGAUCCGGAGUCAGGGACAGUGUCUGAUGGGUAGUUUAACUGGGGCGGUUGCCUCCUAAAGAGUAACGGAGGCGCCCAAAGGUUCCCUCAGCCUGGUUGGCAAUCAGGUGUUGAGUGUAAGUGCACAAGGGAGCUU